RNAcentral lists this ribosomal RNA (1343 nucleotides) under uncultured bacterium. Its description in RNAcentral is "16S ribosomal RNA". It matches the Rfam family "Bacterial small subunit ribosomal RNA", at positions 28 to 1378 of the family's 1533-position model. The record is from RNAcentral.
GACGAACGCUGGCGGCGUGCUUAACACAUGCAAGUCGAACGGAAAGGCCCUGCUUUUGUGGGGUGCUCGAGUGGCGAACGGGUGAGUAACACGUGAGUAACCUGCCCUUGACUUUGGGAUAACUUCAGGAAACUGGGGCUAAUAUCGGAUAGGAGCUCCUGCUGCAUGGUGGGGGUUGGAAAGUUUCGGCGGUUGGGGAUGGACUCGCGGCUUAUCAGCUUGUUGGUGGGGUAGUGGCUUACCAAGGCUUUGACGGGUAGCCGGCCUGAGAGGGUGACCGGCCACAUUGGGACUGAGAUACGGCCCAGACUCCUACGGGAGGCAGCAGUGGGGAAUAUUGCACAAUGGGCGGAAGCCUGAUGCAGCAACGCCGCGUGCGGGAUGACGGCCUUCGGGUUGUAAACCGCUUUCGCCUGUGACGAAGCGUGAGUGACGGUAAUGGGUAAAGAAGCACCGGCUAACUACGUGCCAGCAGCCGCGGUGAUACGUAGGGUGCGAGCGUUGUCCGGAUUUAUUGGGCGUAAAGGGCUCGUAGGUGGUUGAUCGCGUCGGAAGUGUAAUCUUGGGGCUUAACCCUGAGCGUGCUUUCGAUACGGGUUGACUUGAGGAAGGUAGGGGAGAAUGGAAUUCCUGGUGGAGCGGUGGAAUGCGCAGAUAUCAGGAGGAACACCAGUGGCGAAGGCGGUUCUCUGGGCCUUUCCUGACGCUGAGGAGCGAAAGCGUGGGGAGCGAACAGGCUUAGAUACCCUGGUAGUCCACGCUGUAAACGGUGGGUACUAGGUGUGGGGUCCACUCCACGGGUUCCGUGCCGUAGCUAACGCUUUAAGUACCCCGCCUGGGGAGUACGGCCGCAAGGCCAAAACUCAAAGGAAUUGACGGGGCCCCGCACAAGCGGCGGAGCAUGCGGAUUAAUUCGAUGCAACGCGUAGAACCUUACCUGGGUUUGACAUGGAUCGGGAGUGCUCAGAGAUGGGUGUGCCUCUUUUGGGGUCGGUUCACAGGUGGUGCAUGGCUGUCGUCAGCUCGUGUCGUGAGAUGUUGGGUUAAGUCCCGCAACGAGCGCAACCCUUGUUCACUGUUGCCAGCACGUUAUGGUGGGGACUCAGUGGAGACCGCCGGGGUCAACUCGGAGGAAGGUGGGGAUGACGUCAAGUCAUCAUGCCCCUUAUGUCCAGGGCUUCACGCAUGCUACAAUGGCUGGUACAGAGAGUGGCGAGCCUGUGAGGGUGAGCGAAUCUCGGAAAGCCGGUCUCAGUUCGGAUUGGGGUCUGCAACUCGACCUCAUGAAGUCGGAGUCGCUAGUAAUCGCAGAUCAGCAACGCUGCGGUGAAUACGUUCCCGGG